Molecule: ribosomal RNA, 508 nt
Filed under: uncultured bacterium
Lineage: Bacteria
Description: bacterial SSU rRNA
Rfam family: Bacterial small subunit ribosomal RNA
Source: RNAcentral
GCCUAAUACAUGCAAAGUUCGGAAACGCAUUGUGGUUGAAAUGAUAUGAAGAACUUGUUCAGAUUUGAUUUUCAACAUUGCAAUGAGUGGCGAACGGGUGAGUAACACGUGGGAAACCUACUCUUAGCAGGGGAUAACAUUUGGAAACAAUGCUAAUACCGUAUAAUAUUAAAACCGCAUGGUUUUAGUUUAAAAGAUGGUCUUGCUAUCACUAAGAGAUGGUCCCGCGGUGUAUUAGUUAGUUGGUGAGGUAAUGGCUCACCAAGACAAUGAUACAUAGCCGAGUUGAGAGACUGACCGGCCACAAUGGGACUGAGACACGGCCCAUACUCCUACGGGAGGCAGCAGUAGGGAAUCUUCCACAAUGGACGAAAGUCUGAUGGAGCAACGCCGCGUGUGUGAUGAAGGGUUUCGGCUCGUAAAACACUGUUGUAAGAGAAGAAUGACAUUGAGAGUAACUGUUCAAUGUGUGACGGUAUCUUACCAGAAAGGAACGGCUAAAUACGUG